This 269-nucleotide long non-coding RNA is filed under the name Elaeis guineensis (African oil palm). RNAcentral describes it as "long non-coding RNA (EGUI_LNC015512)". The record is from RNAcentral. Lineage: Eukaryota; Viridiplantae; Streptophyta; Magnoliopsida; Arecales; Arecaceae.
CGUGCAAAGGAGAUACUAUGACAUAAAGAAAUUUUAUCGACGGAGCAGGUUGGGAAUCUGGCGUGAGUUUCUUCGUCGUCGAGGGAGUAUAACUAUGGAGGCGAUAACGUGUAAGCCAAGAGAUGCUUGCCGUUUUGGGUGCUUUGCCGCGUUACUCACGGCCUUUCGGUUGCUAUCGCCUGGCAGGGCACGGCGGACUUGCACCAGCGCCGAAACUGGGGGGAGUGGCAUGACGAGUCCAUUCAUCGGAGCGUUAUGAUACUAAAGAU